AGUGAACGCUGGCGGUAGGCCUAACACAUGCAAGUCGAACGGCAGCACAGUAAGCGCUUGCUCUUACGGGUGGCGAGUGGCGGACGGGUGAGGAAUACAUCGGAAUCUACUUUUUCGUGGGGGAUAACGUAGGGAAACUUACGCUAAUACCGCAUACGACCUACGGGUGAAAGCAGGGGAUCUUCGGACCUUGCGCGAUUGAAUGAGCCGAUGUCGGAUUAGCUAGUUGGCGGGGUAAAGGCCCACCAAGGCGACGAUCCGUAGCUGGUCUGAGAGGAUGAUCAGCCACACUGGAACUGAGACACGGUCCAGACUCCUACGGGAGGCAGCAGUGGGGAAUAUUGGACAAUGGGCGCAAGCCUGAUCCAGCCAUACCGCGUGGGUGAAGAAGGCCUUCGGGUUGUAAAGCCCUUUUGUUGGGAAAGAAAAGCAGCAGGUUAAUACCCCGCUGUUCUGACGGUACCCAAAGAAUAAGCACCGGCUAACUUCGCG
Molecule: ribosomal RNA, 492 nt
Filed under: uncultured bacterium
Lineage: Bacteria
Description: partial 16S ribosomal RNA
Rfam family: Bacterial small subunit ribosomal RNA
Source: RNAcentral